CUGUAGAGUCUACACCUUCACCUUUCAUGCAUCCCUCAUCAUCAGGAGCACCUACAUUGCAUAAAAGAGGUACCAGACAAUAUUGUUCAUCAUCAUUUUCAAUUCUAGAUCUUCCAUCGUUCAGUUCAUAUAUACCCUCGUCCGUGUAUAUGCAUGACGAUAUGACCCAGUUUCAGUCCACAGAGGAGAUUGCAACAUAUUUUGAGUAUGCAGCGAUCGAGUAUGAGGGAUCGAGUGAGGGUCCGAUGGAGUAUCGUAUGUAGUCGCACGAGGGACCGACUCAGGGUUUGGGCGAGCAUCAUAUCGAGGAGCACGAUGGUUCGAUCGAGGGUCCAGACGAGCAUCGUAUGGAGGAUCGAGUGAGGCUCUACCUAUGGGUCGUCAAGUACAACCUACAAGAAAGAAGCGA
RNAcentral lists this long non-coding RNA (409 nucleotides) under Elaeis guineensis (African oil palm). RNAcentral's name for it is "long non-coding RNA (EGUI_LNC030859)". The record is from RNAcentral. Lineage: Eukaryota; Viridiplantae; Streptophyta; Magnoliopsida; Arecales; Arecaceae.